ACGGAGGGUGCAAGCGUUGUCCGGAUUUAUUGGGUUUAAAGGGUGCGUAGGCGGCUAUUUAAGUCAGCGGUGAAAGACUCCGGCUUAACCGGAGCAGUGCCAUUGAUACUGGAUAGCUUGAGUGUUGGAGGGGUACAUGGAAUUGAUGGUGUAGCGGUGAAAUGCAUAGAUACCAUCAGGAACACCGAUAGCGAAGGCAUUGUACUGGCCAACAACUGACGCUGAGGCACGAAAGUGUGGGGAUCGAACAGGAUUAGAUACCCUGGUAGUCCACACUGUAAACGAUGAUUACUCGCUGUUAUGCUGUAUAGUGUAGCGGCCAAGCGAAAGCGUUAAGUAAUCCACCUGGGGAGUACGCCGGCAACGGUG
RNAcentral lists this ribosomal RNA (369 nucleotides) under uncultured bacterium. RNAcentral's name for it is "bacterial SSU rRNA". It matches the Rfam family "Bacterial small subunit ribosomal RNA", at positions 525 to 896 of the family's 1533-position model. The record is from RNAcentral.